RNAcentral lists this ribosomal RNA (333 nucleotides) under uncultured bacterium. Its description in RNAcentral is "bacterial SSU rRNA". It matches the Rfam family "Bacterial small subunit ribosomal RNA", at positions 568 to 899 of the family's 1533-position model. The record is from RNAcentral.
GGCGUAGGUGGCCUGUCAAGUCGGAUGUGAAAUCUCCCGGCUCAACUGGGAGGGUGCAUUCGAAACUGAUGGGCUAGAGUGCAGCAGAGGGAGGUGGAAUUCCCGGUGUAGUGGUGAAAUGCGUAGAUAUCGGGAAGAACACUAGUGGCGAAGGCGGCCUCCUGGGAUGUAACUGACACUGAGGCCCGAAGGCGUGGGGAGCAAACAGGAUUAGAUACCCUGGUAGUCCACGCAGUAAACGAUGGAUACUAGGUAUGGGGAGUAUCGACCCUCUCCGUGCCGAAGCUAACGCUUUAAGUAUCCCGCCUGGGGAGUACGGUCGCAAGACUAAAA